This 320-nucleotide unclassified non-coding RNA is filed under the name plant metagenome. Its description in RNAcentral is "partial contains 5.8S ribosomal RNA, internal transcribed spacer 2, and large subunit ribosomal RNA". The stretch from base 1 to 104 matches the Rfam family "5.8S ribosomal RNA", at positions 51 to 154 of the family's 154-position model. The record is from RNAcentral.
AAAUGCGAUAAUUAAUGUGAAUUGCAGAAUUCAGUGAAUCAUCGAGUCUUUGAACGCACAUUGCACCCCCUGGUAUUCCGGGGGGUAUGCCUGUCCGAGCGUCAUUGCUGCCCUCAAGCCCGGCUUGUGUGUUGGGUCCUCGUCCCCCCCCGGGGGACGGGCCCGAAAGGCAGCGGCGGCACCGCGUCCGGUCCUCGAGCGUAUGGGGCUUUGUCACACCGCUCUCGUAGGCCCGGCCGGCGCUGGCCGACGCUGAAAAGCAACCAUUAUUUCUCCAGGUUGACCUCGGAUCAGGUAGGGAUACCCGCUGAACUUAAGCA